UACGUAGGGCCCAAGCGUUGUUCGGAUUUACUGGGCGUAAAGGGCGCGUAGGCGGCUUGACAAGUCACUUGUGAAAUCUCCGGGCUUAACUCGGAACGGCCAAGUGAAACUGUCAUGCUAGAGUGCAGAAGGGGCAAUCGGAAUUCUUGGUGUAGCGGUGAAAUGCGUAGAUAUCAAGAGGAACACCUGAGGUGAAGACGGGUUGCUGGGCUGACACUGACGCUGAGGCGCGAAAGCUAGGGGAGCGAACGGG
Molecule: ribosomal RNA, 253 nt
Filed under: uncultured bacterium
Lineage: Bacteria
Description: partial 16S ribosomal RNA
Rfam family: Bacterial small subunit ribosomal RNA
Source: RNAcentral